This 505-nucleotide ribosomal RNA is filed under the name uncultured Entrophospora. RNAcentral describes it as "SSU rRNA". It matches the Rfam family "Eukaryotic small subunit ribosomal RNA", at positions 593 to 1092 of the family's 1831-position model. The record is from RNAcentral. Lineage: Eukaryota; Fungi; Glomeromycota; Glomeromycetes; Entrophosporales; Entrophosporaceae.
AAUAGCGUAUAUUAAAGUGUUGCNGUUAAAAAGCUCGUAGUUGAAUUUCGGGAUUGGCGCAUCGGUCGUGCCUUACGGGGUAUGAACUGGUGCAGUCAAUUUCUCACCUUCUGGAGAACCGCGAUGUCCUUAAUUGGGUGCCGCGGGGAACCAGGACCUUUACUUUGAAAAAUUAGAGUGUUUAAAGCAGGCAUUUUUGCUUGAAUACAUUAGCAUGGAAUAAUAAAAUAGGACGGCAUGGUUACUAUUUUGUUGGUUUCUAGGACCACCGUAAUGAUUAAUAGGGAUAGUUGGGGGCAUUAGUAUUCAAUUGUCAGAGGUGAAAUUCUUGGAUUUAUUGAAAGACUAACUACUGCGAAAGCAUUUGCCAAGGAUGUUUUCAUUAAUCAAGAACGAAAGUUAGGGGACCGAAGACGAUCAGAUACCGUCGUAGUCUUAACCAUAAACUAUGCCGACUAGGGAUCGGAUGAUGUUAAUUUUUUAAUGACUCAUUCGGCGCCUUACG